AGAACGAACGCUGGCGGCAGGCCUAACACAUGCAAGUCGAACGCUGUAGCAAUACAGAGUGGCAGACGGGUGAGUAACGCGUGGGAACCUUCCCAGUGGUGCGGAAUAGCUCAGGGAAACUUGAGGUAAUACCGCAUAAGCCCUUAGGGGGAAAGAUUUAUCGCCAUUGGAUGGGCCCGCGUCGGAUUAGCUAGUUGGUGAGGUAAUGGCUCACCAAGGCAACGAUCCGUAGCUGGUUUGAGAGAAUGACCAGCCACACUGGGACUGAGACACGGCCCAGACUCCUACGGGAGGCAGCAGUGGGAAUCUGGACAAUGGGCGCAAGCCUGAUCCAGCCAUGCCGCGUGAGUGACGAAGGCCUUAGGGUUGUAAAGCUCUUUUGCCGGGACGAUAAUGACGGUACCGGAGAAUAAGUCCCGGCUAACUUCGUGCCAGCAGCCGC
This 442-nucleotide ribosomal RNA is filed under the name uncultured bacterium. Its description in RNAcentral is "SSU rRNA". It matches the Rfam family "Bacterial small subunit ribosomal RNA", at positions 26 to 518 of the family's 1533-position model. The record is from RNAcentral.